CAGUAGCCGCGGUAAUACGAAGGGGGCUAGCGUUGCUCGGAAUUACUGGGCGUAAAGGGCGCGUAGGCGGACAGUUCAGUCGGGGGUGAAAGCCCGGGGCUCAACCUCGGAAUUGCCUUCGAUACUGGCUGUCUUGAGUAUGAGAGAGGUGUGUGGAACUCCGAGUGUAGAGGUGAAAUUCGUAGAUAUUCGGAGGAACACCAGUGGCGAUGGCGACACACUGGCUCAUUACUGACGCUGAGGCGCGAAAGCGUGGGGAGCAAACAGGAUUAGAUACCCCAGUAGUCCCUGUCUCUUAUAC
Molecule: ribosomal RNA, 301 nt
Filed under: uncultured bacterium
Lineage: Bacteria
Description: partial 16S ribosomal RNA
Rfam family: Bacterial small subunit ribosomal RNA
Source: RNAcentral